Selaginella moellendorffii is the source of this 876-nucleotide long non-coding RNA. RefSeq lists it as uncharacterized. The record is from RefSeq and is a predicted model, not a curated record. Lineage: Eukaryota; Viridiplantae; Streptophyta; Lycopodiopsida; Selaginellales; Selaginellaceae. The transcript is spliced from 4 exons.
CUGUACAAGGCAGAGUGUAAGCACGAUGAGCAGGAACCAGAGUGAGGGGAGUUCCAGUUAGAAAUGGGCUUAGAGUUGGAGGAGGAUGAGGAGGCACAGGAUGAGGAGGCCGUUUUUCUGGACCUGGAGUUUCCACAUGAUGGCAUUGAUCAACCUACUAACGAUGUCACCUCCUCUGAGGAGGAACAGGCCGAGCUUGAUUGGCAUUCAGGCAUUCUAGCGUUCACCACCUCGAUCCUGGAUGUGCGUACACUAAGAUUGGGAAUUGAUGUGAAGCACCGCGAUCUGCUACAGGUUUUCAUGUACGUGGAUCACUGCCAGCUUAGGGAAGCAAGCAAGACCUCCAACAUAUCUUCAUGUAUGUACCAGUUUCUAGUUUCGUGUUUUGAAAUCAAUUUCUGUUUGUUUUGUGUAUGCCAUGGACAUGAGGGAAUGGCGAUAUGCCAUUUCUGAGAUCGAUGGAUAUGUGCAGGUCAAGGGAAACCAGCUGGUUGAAGCUUCUCUGCAUUAGUUCCCUGACUCACCCACAGAGCCGAUCUCGGAAGAGUUCACACGCGCCUUCACCACGCAGGAGGUUCGGGAUAAGUUUGCAGCCUGGAGAGCAUCCUUGUUAUCGGAGGACAUUACGAUUCCGGAUGGGUCGCACCCUGUUGGCCGGUUGCUCCAAGCCAUCUCAGUGGGAGAGCUCAAGUUGUACUCGGGUAUCCUGAUUGGCCAGUGAGUGCGGCGCUGGACUCGAAGGAAAGUUUGGUAGUUCGCACCUGAUGGUGGGCAUGCUAGCCCCAUGGAUUAACGUGAGGUUUUCUCGUGGAGGUGUAAGCGAGCGUGUCAACUUAGACUUCUAACUACAACCUGCAAUAUUUUUGUCUCUGUGUU